UCCGGUUUGUCACCGGCAGUCUCCUUAGAGUUCCCACCAUGACGUGCUGGCAACUAAGGACAAGGGUUGCGCUCGUUACGGGACUUAACCCAACAUCUCACGGCACGAGCUGACGACAACCAUGCACCACCUGUGUACGGCCCCGAAGGACACCAUAUCUCUAUGGCUUUUCCGUACAUUUCAAGCCUUGGUAAGGUUCUUCGCGUUGCUUCGAAUUAAGCCACAUGCUCCGCCGCUUGUGCGGGCCCCCGUCAAUUCCUUUGAGUUUUAGCCUUGCGGCCGUACUCCCCAGGCGGGGCACUUAAUGCGUUAGCUACGGCACAGGGCCCGUCAAUGGAGCCCCACACCUAGUGCCCAUCGUUUACGGCGUGGACUAC
Molecule: unclassified non-coding RNA, 377 nt
Filed under: uncultured Actinomycetes bacterium
Lineage: Bacteria; Bacillati; Actinomycetota; Actinomycetes
Description: uncultured actinobacterium contains 16S-23S intergenic spacer region
Source: RNAcentral